RNAcentral lists this ribosomal RNA (492 nucleotides) under uncultured bacterium. Its description in RNAcentral is "partial 16S ribosomal RNA". It matches the Rfam family "Bacterial small subunit ribosomal RNA", at positions 29 to 507 of the family's 1533-position model. The record is from RNAcentral.
AGUGAACGCUGGCGGUAGGCCUAACACAUGCAAGUCGAACGGCAGCACAGUAAGAGCUUGCUCUUACGGGUGGCGAGUGGCGGACGGGUGAGGAAUACAUCGGAAUCUACUUUUUCGUGGGGGAUAACGUAGGGAAACUUACGCUAAUACCGCAUACGACCUACGGGUGAAAGCAGGGGAUCUUCGGGCCUUGCGCGAUUGAAUGAGCCGAUGUCGGAUUAGCUAGUUGGCGGGGUAAAGGCCCACCAAGGCGACGAUCCGUAGCUGGUCUGAGAGGAUGAUCAGCCAGACUGGAACUGAGACACGGUCCAGACUCCUACGGGAGGCAGCAGUGGGGAAUAUUGGACAAUGGGCGCAAGCCUGAUCCAGCCAUACCGCGUGGGUGAAGAAGGCCUUCGGGUUGUAAAGCCCUUUUGUUGGGAAAGAAAAGCAGCAAGUUAAUACCCCGCUGUUCUGACGGUACCCAAAGAAUAAGCACCGGCUAACUUCGUG